AGUGAACGCUGGCGGUAGGCCUAACACAUGCAAGUCGAGCGGCAGCACAGUACUAGCUUGCUGUUUCGGCUGGCGAGUGGCGGGCGGUUCCGGAAUACAUCGGUAUCUACUUUUUCUUAGGGGCUAACGUAGGGACACUUACCCUAUUACCCCAUACGACGUACGGGUGAAAGCAGGGGAUCUUCCGCCCUUGCGCGAUUGGAUGACGGAUUAGCUAGUUGGUGGGGUAAAGGCCUACCAAGGCGACGAUCCGUAGCUGGUCUGAGAGGAUGAUCAGCCACACUGGAACUGAGACACGGUCCAGACUCCUACGGGAGGCAGCAGUGGGGAAUAUUGGACAAUGGGCGAAAGCCUGAUCCAGCCAUACCGCGUGGGUGAAGAAGGCCUUCGGAUUGUAAAGCACUUUAGGUGGGAAAGAAAAGCAGUAGGUUAAUACCUCGCUGUUCUGACGUUACCAAAAGAAUAAGCACCGGCUAACUUCGUG
RNAcentral lists this ribosomal RNA (484 nucleotides) under uncultured bacterium. RNAcentral's name for it is "partial 16S ribosomal RNA". It matches the Rfam family "Bacterial small subunit ribosomal RNA", at positions 29 to 507 of the family's 1533-position model. The record is from RNAcentral.